UAAUAAGUGUUUUUAUGGCACUUUUUUAAAUCCAUAUCCACCUUGUGUGCAAUGUCAGUCGAUCUUCUUCAUGGAGAUCGACCAAACAUCAACCUUUAUUUUUUAACUCUUUGUCUGAAAAAUAUUAUGAAUAAACAAUUCAAAAUA
RNAcentral lists this unclassified non-coding RNA (147 nucleotides) under soil metagenome. RNAcentral's name for it is "partial internal transcribed spacer 1". The record is from RNAcentral.